This 1129-nucleotide unclassified non-coding RNA is filed under the name Leishmania donovani. RNAcentral's name for it is "gene:LdHU3.23.0320(CDS-product:hypothetical_prote in_conserved)". Lineage: Eukaryota; Euglenozoa; Kinetoplastea; Trypanosomatida; Trypanosomatidae. The record is from RNAcentral.
CUACAUACACUUAGAUAUAUCGCCAGGCGUAUGCGCAGGUGCCUUGCCUUUCGACAUCUCACGGGCGCUGACUGCGGCUCUUCCGGGGCUGUGCACUCUUGCCGUACAUCGUCGUCCCUACAGACUCUAGUCGCUUUCUCGGGCACCCUCUGUUUCUCCUGCUCCAAGACCUUCACCACUUCAUCCUCCGCCACCAUCUCGUCCGCCAGGUGUGUGUCGUGCGUUGCCGUCUGCACACCUGCCCGGCACUUUGGCAAUGCGCCGUCGCGCAUUCGCCCAGCCGAGACACCCGCCGAGAACAUGUGGCGGCAGAGUGAGCGCGAGACGAGCGCCUCCGUCGUCAUUGUCAUCAUGUUCAUGGUGCCACUGUGGCUUUACGUGCUUUCAGCGCAUGGGCAGGAGCAGAAGCGCGCCGCGGUGCGCGCUUGGGCGCUGGAGCAACGUGAACAGCAUCACCCCUCUGAGCGUGAGGGCGAAGACAAGACGUAGAGCGGCGAUGUAGGGGGCGGGGCAGGCGUGAGACGCGGUGCGGCGUCGAGAGUUCGGAUGCCCCGUCCGCCACUGCCCUUUUCUUCUCUCACCGGCUUGCCUGUCUCGCGCCGUCGCUGUGAGGGGGACGCUUUCAGCACCUCAGCAGCCUAGGGUUGAAGGUCAGCACGUGCAAACUCGGCUUUACAGAUGGCUAUACUGCAGCGCACCACGCAUACACACGACGGCGCUGCCGCCUGUGUUACUGCGUCUCUGGCGUGCCCCUCCUCUGCCUUUACUUCAUCGCCUUUCAGUCACAAGCUUACGUCUCGUCGAGGAGUCCCCGGAAAGCGCGCGGGAAAAGGAGCUGUAAUAUGAAGGGUUGAGCCUGCGCCCCUGUGAUGGACUGCUCUGCCGUCCACCCCACCCCACCCGUCUCAUCGCCGCAGUUUAGCGUGCGCCCAAGCCGAACAGAUGAGAACGGCUGCACCUUGCCGACAUCUCCGUUCCUCUGAUGCACACGCACACACACACACACACAACACCUUUGCCCUCCCCCGCUCUGUUUCUUGUGUAUAUGUUGCUUGGCGGGCCUUCGCCGCCUGUCUGGUGAGACUGCUGAGCCUGCUGCGGGUGUCGCUGGUGCCGACGUCCGCGUAAG